This 670-nucleotide ribosomal RNA is filed under the name Enterococcus sp. MRG13. RNAcentral's name for it is "bacterial SSU rRNA". It matches the Rfam family "Bacterial small subunit ribosomal RNA", at positions 36 to 682 of the family's 1533-position model. Lineage: Bacteria; Bacillati; Bacillota; Bacilli; Lactobacillales; Enterococcaceae. The record is from RNAcentral.
AUGGGGGCAGCUAUACAUGCAAGUCGAACGCUUUUUCUUUCACCGGAGCUUGCUCCACCGGAAGAAAAAGAGUGGCGAAGGGUGAGUAACACGUGGGUAACCUGCCCAUCAAAAGGGGAUAACACUUGGAAACAGGUGCUAAUACCGUAUAACACUAUUUUCCGCAUGGAAGAAAGUUGAAAGGCGCUUUUGCGUCACUGAUGGAUGGACCCGCGGUGCAUUAGCUAGUUGGUGAGGUAACGGCUCACCAAGGCAACGAUGCAUAGCCGACCUGAGAGGGUGAUCGGCCACACUGGGACUGAGACACGGCCCAGACUCCUACGGGAGGCAGCAGUAGGGAAUCUUCGGCAAUGGACGAAAGUCUGACCGAGCAACGCCGCGUGAGUGAAGAAGGUUUUCGGAUCGUAAAACUCUGUUGUUAGAGAAGAACAAGGAUGAGAGUAGAACGUUCAUCCCUUGACGGUAUCUAACCAGAAAGCCACGGCUAACUACGUGCCAGCAGCCGCGGUAAUACGUAGGUGGCAAGCGUUGUCCGGAUUUAUUGGGCGUAAAGCGAGCGCACGCGGUUUCUUAAGUCUGAUGUGAAAGCCCCCGGCUCAACCGGGGAGGGUCAUUGGAAACUGGGAGACUUGAGUGCAGAAGAGGAGAGUGGAAUUCCAUGUGUAGCGUG